This 426-nucleotide ribosomal RNA is filed under the name uncultured bacterium. Its description in RNAcentral is "partial 16S ribosomal RNA". It matches the Rfam family "Bacterial small subunit ribosomal RNA", at positions 354 to 796 of the family's 1533-position model. The record is from RNAcentral.
GUGAGGAAUUUUCCGCAAUGGGCGAAAGCCUGACGGAGCAAUGCCGCGUGAAGGAUGAAGGCCUAUGGGUUGUAAACUUCUUUUCUUAGAGAAGAAUAUUGACGGUAUCUGAGGAAUAAGCAUCGGCUAACUCUGUGCCAGCAGCCGCGGUAAUACGAGGGGUCCUAGCGUUGUUCGGAAUCAUUGGGCGUAAAGGGUGUGUAGGUGGCCAUGUAAGUCAGGUGUGAAAGCCCCGGGCUCAACCCGGGAAGUGCACUUGAUACUGCGUGGCUUGAGUACCGAAGAGGGUAGUGGAAUUCCAGGUGUAGUGGUGAAAUACGUAGAUAUCUGGAGGAACACCGGUGGCGAAGGCGGCUACCUGGUCGAGUACUGACACUGAGACACGAAAGCAUGGGGAUCAAACAGGAUUAGAAACCCCGGUAGUCC